RNAcentral lists this ribosomal RNA (488 nucleotides) under uncultured bacterium. RNAcentral's name for it is "partial 16S ribosomal RNA". It matches the Rfam family "Bacterial small subunit ribosomal RNA", at positions 28 to 507 of the family's 1533-position model. The record is from RNAcentral.
GACGAACGCUGGCGGCGUGCUUAACACAUGCAAGUCGAACGGAAAGGCCCUGCUUUUGUGGGGUGCUCGAGUGGCGAACGGGUGAGUAACACGUGAGUAACCUGCCCUUGACUUUGGGAUAACUUCAGGAAACUGGGGCUAAUACCGGAUAGGAGCUCCUGCUGCAUGGUGGGGGUUGGAAAGUUUCGGCGGUUGGGGAUGGACUCGCGGCUUAUCAGCUUGUUGGUGGGGUAGUGGCUUACCAAGGCUUUGACCGGUAGCCGGCCUGAGAGGGUGGGCGGCGACACGGGAAGUGAGACAGGGUGAAGAGUACUACGGUACGCAGCAGUGGGGAAUAGUGGGCAAGGGGGGGGAGUAUGAUCCAGCGAUACGGAGUGGGAGGAGAAGGCCCCACGGUCGGAAAGCCCUUUUGUGGGGAAAGAAAAGCAGCAGGUUGAGACGACGCUGGUGUGACGGUACCAAAAGAAUAAGCACCGGCUAACUACGUG